UACAGAGGAGCCAAGCGUUGUCCGGAUUGACUGGGCGUAAAGCGCACGCAGGCGGUCUGGCGCGUGGGGUGUGAAAUCUGGCCGCUUAACGGCCAGGCGCCAUCCCAUACGGCCGGACUGGAGCCUUGCAGAGGUCGGUGGAAUUGCCGGUGUAGUGGUGAAAUGCGUAGAGAUCGGCGGGAACACCCAGGGGGAAACCAGCCGACUGGGCAAGUGCUGACGCUGAGGUGCGAGAGCGUGGGGAGCGAACCGG
This 253-nucleotide ribosomal RNA is filed under the name uncultured bacterium. RNAcentral's name for it is "partial 16S ribosomal RNA". It matches the Rfam family "Bacterial small subunit ribosomal RNA", at positions 524 to 776 of the family's 1533-position model. The record is from RNAcentral.